This 253-nucleotide ribosomal RNA is filed under the name uncultured bacterium. RNAcentral describes it as "partial 16S ribosomal RNA". It matches the Rfam family "Bacterial small subunit ribosomal RNA", at positions 524 to 776 of the family's 1533-position model. The record is from RNAcentral.
UACGGAGGGUGCAAGCGUUAUCCGGAUUCACUGGGUUUAAAGGGCGCGUAGGCGGCCUUCUAAGUCAGACGUGAAAUCCCCAGGCUUAACUUGGGAACUGCCGUUGAUACUAUCUGUCUUGAAUAUCGUGGAGGUUAGCGGAAUAUGUCAUGUAGCGGUUAAAUGCAUAGAGAUGACAUAGAACACCAAUUGCGAAGGCAGCUGGCUACACGGUAAUUGACACUGAGGCACGAAAGCGUGGGGAGCAAACAGG